This 397-nucleotide ribosomal RNA is filed under the name uncultured bacterium. RNAcentral describes it as "bacterial SSU rRNA". It matches the Rfam family "Bacterial small subunit ribosomal RNA", at positions 64 to 507 of the family's 1533-position model. The record is from RNAcentral.
GAACGAGACCUUCGGGUCUAGUGGCGCACGGGUGCGUAACGCGUGGGAAUCUACCCUUGGGUUCGGAAUAACAGUUAGAAAUGACUGCUAAUACCGGAUGAUGACGUAAGUCCAAAGAUUUAUCGCCCAAGGAUGAGCCCGCGUAGGAUUAGCUUGUUGGUGAGGUAAAAGCUCACCAAGGCGACGAUCCUUAGCUGGUCUGAGAGGAUGAUCAGCCACACUGGGACUGAGACACGGCCCAGACUCCUACGGGAGGCAGCAGUGGGGAAUAUUGGACAAUGGGCGAAAGCCUGAUCCAGCAAUGCCGCGUGAGUGAUGAAGGCCUUAGGGUUGUAAAGCUCUUUUACCCGGGAUGAUAAUGACAGUACCGGGAGAAUAAGCUCCGGCUAACUCCGUG